AGGAGGGUGGUUGCUGGAUUCAGCAACUCCAGAGACAGUUCUCUCCCUUGCAGCUGCCCGGGAACAGGCAAAGGAGGCGUGCAAAGCUGCAGCAGAACAGGCCGUCUCCGUCCGACAGCAGGUCGCGCUAGAAAAUGCUGCAAAGAAGAGAGAGCGAGCAACAAGUGACCCAAGGACCACAGAACAGAAACAAGAGAAGAAACGACUCAAAAUUUCCAAGAAGCCAAAGGACCUGGAGCCGCCAAAAAAAGAGUUUACGCCUUAUGACUACAGCCAGUCAGACUUCAAGGCUUUUGCUGGAAACAGCAAAUCCAAAGCUGCUUCUCAGUUUGAUCCAAAUAAACAGACCCCUUCUGGCAAGAAAUGCAUUGCAGCCAAAAAAAUUAAACAGUCGGUGGGAAACAAAAGCAUGUCCUUUCCGACGGGAAAGUCAGACAGAGGCUUCAGGUACAACUGGCCACAGAGAUAAUCCUGGAAGACACGCAGCACCCGUGGACCAGAAGCACCAAAUGCCAGUGCUGCUUUUGUACAGACGUAUUUUUAAACCAUUAAAAAAUAUUCUUCCUGGAAGAAAGCUGAUUCCUG
Molecule: long non-coding RNA, 585 nt
Filed under: Theropithecus gelada (gelada)
Lineage: Eukaryota; Metazoa; Chordata; Mammalia; Primates; Cercopithecidae
Description: lncRNA (ENSTGEG00000007926.1)
Source: RNAcentral